AGUCGUAACAAGGUAUCCGUAGGUGAACCUGCGGAUGGAUCAUUACCAAAGGAUUCAUUUCCAACGUAUUGUGAACUGUUUUGAACUUGCCAGUCAGUGUGUGUGUGGUUUACCGGCGUGUUGUUAUACUGUGCUACAGUAUGAUGUGCGCGGUAGGCACACGCACACUGGCUGUACCCUUAAACACGUAUAUUAUUUAUUAAACUGAAGUCUGUUUUAGAUUAAACUAAAACACAACUUUUAGCAACGGAUCUCUUGGCUCUC
Molecule: unclassified non-coding RNA, 264 nt
Filed under: fungal sp.
Lineage: Eukaryota; Fungi
Description: partial internal transcribed spacer region
Rfam family: Eukaryotic small subunit ribosomal RNA (bases 1-45)
Source: RNAcentral